Long non-coding RNA from Passer domesticus (house sparrow), 241 nucleotides. RefSeq lists it as uncharacterized. The transcript is spliced from 3 exons. The record is from RefSeq and is a predicted model, not a curated record. Lineage: Eukaryota; Metazoa; Chordata; Aves; Passeriformes; Passeridae.
CCUAAAAGAGUUAAAUAGUCAGUCAUCUUUAAAGGAUACUGCCACAGGAAAAUGCAUUGCCAGUAUUCAGACAAAUUUGACAUUAAAUUGUUAGGAGCAACACCUACAACCACAGCAGACAGACAACACAGAAGAAAUCAACAAAGCAAGUGAGAUGUUCAAAGGAUCCUUGCCUCACAAAGAAUUUAAAGGAAAGUCAAUAAAAGACUGGAAAUACUGACUCACCAGCUCUGUUGCAAGU